This 68-nucleotide transfer RNA is filed under the name Marmota monax (woodchuck). Its description in RNAcentral is "tRNA.Ala". The record is from RNAcentral. Lineage: Eukaryota; Metazoa; Chordata; Mammalia; Rodentia; Sciuridae.
GGAUUGUGGCUCAGAGGUAGCAUGCUCGCCUAGCACUCGUGAGACACUGAGUUCAAUCCUCAGCACCA